CCCUUAGACGUUCUGGGCCGCACGCGCGCUACACUGACCGGUGCAACAAGCAUCCGUCCUUGGCCGACAGGCCCGGGCAAUCUUUGAACGCCGGUCGUGAUGGGGAUAGACUUUUGCAAUUUUUGGUCUUCAACGAGGAAUUCCUAGUAAACGCAAGUCAUCAACUUGCAUUGAUUACGUCCCUGCCCUUUGUACACACCGCCCGUCGCACCUACCGAUUGAAUGGUCCGGUGAAGCCUCCGGAUUGGCGCGCACCUCGGUGCCGCCGAGAAGUUGGCUAAACCUUACCAUUUAGAGGAAGGCGAAGUCGUAACA
This 315-nucleotide ribosomal RNA is filed under the name uncultured eukaryote. RNAcentral's name for it is "partial 18S ribosomal RNA". It matches the Rfam family "Eukaryotic small subunit ribosomal RNA", at positions 1470 to 1796 of the family's 1831-position model. The record is from RNAcentral.